Non-coding RNA from Gnomoniopsis sp. IMI 355080, 85 nucleotides. NCBI's taxonomy places the organism in Eukaryota, Fungi, Ascomycota, Sordariomycetes, Diaporthales, Gnomoniaceae. The record is from the annotation of a GenBank genome assembly.
CCCUUGAUAGCUCAGUUGGCAGAGCGAUGGACUGUAAUAGAUUAAAGCCAUCCACAGGUCACCGGUUCAAAUCCGGUUCGAGGGA